Molecule: small nuclear RNA, 119 nt
Filed under: Monodon monoceros (narwhal)
Lineage: Eukaryota; Metazoa; Chordata; Mammalia; Artiodactyla; Monodontidae
Description: U5 spliceosomal RNA (ENSMMNG00015011272.1)
Rfam family: U5 spliceosomal RNA
About the family: U5 RNA is a component of both types of known spliceosome. The precise function of this molecule is unknown, though it is known that the 5' loop is required for splice site selection and p220 binding, and that both the 3' stem-loop and the Sm site are important for Sm protein binding and cap methylation.
Source: RNAcentral
AUACUCUGGUUUCUUUUCAGCUCGUAUAAAUCUUUCGCCUUUUACUAAAGAUUUCUGUUGGGGGGGUGGUGGUGGUGGAAAUGCAAAUAUAUCCUGUGACUACAUCCCAACAAAUGUGC